CCUGCUAUAGCUGCACACAUUCUCUGUUCUCCUUGUGGCAGAAAAAGUUGAAGUUUGAAAUUGAAGGCACACAGACUGAGCCUUCAAAUAUAGGACAUGAAAGGACAGGAUAAUUCUAAAGAAAUCAGCAAAGCACAUCCUAUAUCACAGCAAUUUGUGAAGCCCAGCCUGAAGAAGAGCAAAGGCAAUUGAAGAGGACCCUGGUUUGAGGGACACACACAGAGAGUGCCCGGUUCUUUCCUUCUGGUGGCAGC
This is a long non-coding RNA of Hemicordylus capensis (graceful crag lizard), 254 nucleotides long. RefSeq lists it as uncharacterized. The transcript is spliced from 3 exons. The record is from RefSeq and is a predicted model, not a curated record. Lineage: Eukaryota; Metazoa; Chordata; Lepidosauria; Squamata; Cordylidae.